GGGGGGGGGGGGUUCUGGAUGAAGAUCUCAUCAUGCUGAAAUUCAACAGAGUGUGAGGUUCCUGACACCACCAUGUUUUUCUGGUACUGAAAUUAGCAUAAUGGUGGUAUGGUACUGUUAAAAAUUUACUAAAAAAAAACACAAAUAGGAACACUUUAAUUUUUCUUUUUGUUGAUUCCACAUACUUUCUUGCUUAUUUCUUCCCUAUGGAGGUUUUGGAAUAUCCAGAUUUAACCUCUUUAAUUAGUUUUCUCAUUUAAAGUCAUUUUGAAUUACCUAAAAAUAUUUUGCAUCUUGUGGCACUGCCAUUUUUUACGGGCACCACUACUUUUUGUUAGCAUUUGUGUAAGGUUGCUAAUUUCCAGAAGCAUGUGGCGUAGCAUAGUAUAAAGGUCAUCAUCGCACACUUCCUUGGUUGUCCAGAAUUCCGGAUAUGAGCAACAUAUGACUUUUGUGGUAGUCGUUAAUGCGCGGAAUCAGCUUAAAUAAUUAGAAUCUCUACUGUGCCUCUUCGUCUUUUUGGUUUUUUUUUUGGUUUACAUUUUGGGUUUUGUAGUUUGGUAUCUUCUUGACUUUAAUUGCCAUUGCUAGUACUUUUGGCACUGGCUUAUGUCUCGUUCAUGUCCUACACAAGACAAAGAUGUCUUCUUUUUAUUCUUUUUACCAGUUCUUCAACUAGGCAGACCACGGAAUGUUGUGUUGAUAAGUGAAGAAUUAUUUGUAAAUGUGGUUUGGGGAGGGAAGAGAAAGUCUCCUCGCCGGACAUUUACAAUGGCAGUACACUACAGGUCACCAUUGUAUCCUGCUGGGGAGAUCUUUAUUUCCUUUUUUUAAUCUAUAAAGAUUGCUACACUUAACAGCACAAGUUUUCAGGGAAAAUGAAUGUUUGAAACAACUGCAAAAAAAAAGAACAAAUUCAAAAUUGCCAAAUUUAUCCUUAAAGACUUGGGAAUAAAAGUAGUAAAGAAUGACAUAUUUUAAGAUAGUGUGCUAAGUAAAAAAAGAAAUAAUAAAAAAAAGUAAUUUAAAAAAAUCAAAAAUAAUUUAGGAAAAGUCUGAAAAUGAUUUUGACUUAGAAAAUCCUAAACUCAUUUUUUAAAACUUGGCAGUAACAGAAGUUAGGAAUGUGACUAAUUCAAACAGGGUACACCGAGUCAAAUCAUUUCAAUACAAGUAAUUUAGAAAAAAAGUCAAAAAUUAAUAUAGUCAAAAAUAAUUUUGUAUUUCAAAAUAUCAAUUUUAUCUUAAUAUUUGGGAGUACCAGUAGUAAGGAAUAAAAGACUGUUAUGUGGAAACUAAUUUAUAAAAACAAAAUCAAAAAAUAAAUUUGAGAGUCAAAAAAUGUAGAAAAAUAGUCACAUUUUACUUAAAAAAUCACUGAAUUGAUCUUUUAAGACUUUAAGGUAACAGGUAAGGAGUGACAAAUUCUAGCACUGAAAAAAUAAUUUAAGAAAAAUGUCAAAAAAUUAAUUUAAAGGAAAAAAAAUACAAGUAAAAGAUAUCAAAUUUACUCUUUCCAGACGUAGGGGAAACCGAGGUAAAGAGUGAUCAAUUUCAACAAAGUUCAAACACAGUCAAAAAUAAUUUUGAAAAAAAUCACAAAACAUUAUUCAGAAAAAAGUUUUGACAAAAUAAAGUCAGAAAUAAUUUGAAGUUAAAAAAUAUAGAAUUUAGUCUUUAAGAUGAUAGAAGUAAGGAAUGACAAACUCUGAGUCAAAAAUGUAAUUUUAGAAAAAUUCAGAAAUAAUUUAAAAUUCAAAAAUGGCAAAUGUAUCCUUUAAGAAUUGGGAGAACACGAAAUAAGAAAUGACAAACUCUGAGUCUGCACCAAGUCAAACAUAAUUUAGAAACAUUCAAAAAAUAACGUAGAAUAAUAAUCAAAAAUGAUUGAAAAACAUAGAAGAAAUUUGGAAGAAAACCAUAAUAAUGAUUUAUA
Molecule: long non-coding RNA, 1936 nt
Organism: Erpetoichthys calabaricus (reedfish)
Lineage: Eukaryota; Metazoa; Chordata; Cladistia; Polypteriformes; Polypteridae
Exons: 2
Source: RefSeq, a predicted model, not a curated record